Molecule: transfer RNA, 69 nt
Filed under: Ovis aries (sheep)
Lineage: Eukaryota; Metazoa; Chordata; Mammalia; Artiodactyla; Bovidae
Rfam family: tRNA
About the family: Transfer RNA (tRNA) molecules are approximately 80 nucleotides in length. Their secondary structure includes four short double-helical elements and three loops (D, anti-codon, and T loops).
Source: Rfam by way of RNAcentral
CCUGGUGGCUCAGAGGUUUAAGCAUCUGCUUGCAAUGCGGGAGACCCAGGUUUGAUUCCUGGGUCAGGA